Molecule: ribosomal RNA, 514 nt
Filed under: uncultured bacterium
Lineage: Bacteria
Description: partial 16S ribosomal RNA
Rfam family: Bacterial small subunit ribosomal RNA
Source: RNAcentral
GAUGAACGCUGGCGGCGUGCCUAAUACAUGCAAGUCGAGCGAACAGAUGAGAAGCUUGCUUCUCUGAUGUUAGCGGCGGACGGGUGAGUAACACGUGGGUAACCUACCUAUAAGACUGGGAUAACUCCGGGAAACCGGGGCUAAUACCGGAUAAUAUUUUGAACCGCAUGGUUCAAUAGUGAAAGACGGUUUCGGCUGUCACUUAUAGAUGGACCCGCGCCGUAUUAGCUAGUUGGUAAGGUAACGGCUUACCAAGGCGACGAUACGUAGCCGACGUGAGAGGGGGAUCGGCCACACUGGAACUGAGACACGGUCCAGACUCCUACGGGAGGCAGCAGUAGGGAAUCUUCCGCAAUGGGCGAAAGCCUGACGGAGCAACGCCGCGUGAGUGAUGAAGGUCUUCGGAUUGUAAAACUCUGUUGUUAGGGAAGAACAAAUUUGUUAGUAACUGAACAAGUCUUGACGGUACCUAACCAGAAAGCCACGGCUAACUACGUGCCAGCCGCCGCGGUAA